ACCAACUGUCGCUCCCGGGCUGAGUGGUGAUGUGUCCGGCCAGAGGAGAAGGGGAUUCAGAGGGAAAGACCUCCUAACUGCAUGUGCAUGUGUAGUCCAGACAGCACAGCAAGGAUCAGAAGACUAGGAGUCAGAUGUGCAGCGGAGCAGGUUCUCUCCUCAGCCGCUGCUGUGCAUGAGCAUCAUGUGAAGGAGUGCAGAAAAAAACGGCAUCCGGACACCAUCUCCAGAAAGGGCAGGGCCUGUUGUUGGCCUUUAUAAAAAAAUACAGUUUCACUCAGGAGCAGGAGAACUGUGGAUGUUGAAAGAAAGGAGAACUUGUAUCUUAGGACCUGGCUCAAGUCACCAACCGCAGCUGGAAGAGACCCAGGCAGUCACUCCGCACAUGCAGUGCAGGUCCCUAAAACCUCAGGGAGUUCUGUCAGAGGAUCACAUAAUCGAGAAAGAAGAAUCCAGGAUUUGAGCCUAAUGGAAAUGGCUUAGACU
This is a long non-coding RNA of Fukomys damarensis (Damara mole-rat), 486 nucleotides long. RefSeq lists it as uncharacterized. The record is from RefSeq and is a predicted model, not a curated record. NCBI's taxonomy places the organism in Eukaryota, Metazoa, Chordata, Mammalia, Rodentia, Bathyergidae. The transcript is spliced from 3 exons.